Molecule: ribosomal RNA, 426 nt
Filed under: uncultured bacterium
Lineage: Bacteria
Description: partial 16S ribosomal RNA
Rfam family: Bacterial small subunit ribosomal RNA
Source: RNAcentral
GUAAGGAAUAUUGGACAAUGGGGGAAACCCUGAUCCAGCCAUGCCGCGUGAGUGAAGAAGGCCUUCGGGUUGUAAAGCUCUUUCAGAUGUGAAGAUGAUGACGGUAACAUCAGAAGAAGCUCCGGCUAACUUCGUGCCAGCAGCCGCGGUAAUACGAAGGGAGCGAGCGUUGUUCGGAAUCACUGGGCGUAAAGAGUGCGUAGGCGGUUAUACAAGUCAGGAGUGAAAUCCAAGGGCUCAACCCUGGAAUUGCUUUUGAAACUGUAUAGCUAGAGUCCCGGAGGGGUUAAUGGAAUUCCGAGUGUAGAGGUGAAAUUCGCAGAUAUUCGGAGGAACACCAGUGGCGAAGGCGAUUAACUGGACGGGCACUGACGCUGAGGCACGAAAGCGUGGGGAUCAAACAGGAUUAGAUACCCCUAGUAGUCC